AAGCACUCAGGGCACAUAGCACUAGCUCCAAGAAUUGAAUUUCCCUCAAGCCUAGCUAGUGAAGCAGAUUGCUGUAACCCUAAGAUUGGUUUUAUGCAGUAACUGCUGAAUUGACCUGCUGGGACUCUAAGACUACUUUUACUUACAGCCGUCACUCAUCAAUCAGAGCUUGUAAGCUACCAAAAGCUUUUCUAGUGUCAAUGAGCUUUCUUUCAAAACAGCACAGUGCCAAGUCAUCCAUAAACAUUGACAGUACAGAGUUUCAUCCAACACAACAGCCUUACAAGGAAGCUUCACUCCUCUGCUCAGCUGCUGCACCACAUUUCGGAUCAGAACAUCUAGAUCCAUCAAAACAAGAGGUGGAUGAGAUAUCUGCACAUUCAGGGAGGGGAGGAUAAAAUCCAGGGGGCCUCAUGAGAUUGCUCUCCACGUGCGAGUGAGCAGACAGGCGGUGUAUUUCCUGAUUGCCCCAGGCUAGGUGAGGAGUGGCUCAGGCAGCCCAGGCUGGGCAGGGACACUAGAGACUGAUGCAUUAAAGAAAAAUUUAUCAAAAAAUCAGGGAAGAAGCUAGUUUCUCUUUACCCCCUCUAUUUAAGGACCCCUUGAGUGAUAGUUCCCGGAUCCUCCUGCGCUGGUGUUUGUCUUUCGCUGAAGGUGAUGGAUGUGUAAGCUGCACUAAUGAGCAGGGCUUGGGCCAUCAGACAGUCACAGGGCCGUCCAGCUCCAUGCACCUCCCAGGCCGUGAGACAGUCACAGAGUUGUCCAUCUCCACGCAUCUUCCAGGUUCUGAGACAGUCACGGGGCCGUCCAUCUCCACGCACCUCCCAGGUUGUGAGACAGUCACGGGGCCAUCCAUCUCCACGCACCUCCCAGGUUGUGAGACAGUCACGGGGCUGUCCAUCUCCAUGCACCUCCCAGCUGUCAGCAUGGUCCACCGGGGAAAUAUGUGAUUAAUGCAGAGGAUUAUGUGUGUGUUGGGGUGGAGGGAGAUGUAGCCCAAUGGAGAGGAAAGGCAUGGACCAGCUUGGGGGUGGGAGAUGGGGGUCAGGGGGAUCUGGACCUCAGUUAGUCAGGACAAUUGAGAGAGUCUCAGUAGGCUCCCAAGAGAUAGUGAAUGAAUUCUCCAGGGGCUGGGGGCAGUGGGUCAGUCCAAGACCCUGCCUGCCCCUCUCCUCAGCCUUAAAGGUUCACAGUAGAGAGAGGAGUCUUCCAGACCUGAGUUCAAAUCUUAGCUUGGACUCAGCUUUGUGACAUUGGACUUGUCAAUGAACUUCUCUGUGCCUCCUUUUCUUCCAUGUAUGUCCAUUUAGCAUUAAAAGAACUAACGAAUGCGUGGCAAGCCCUUUGCACAAUAGUUGACACAAAGCCAGGGCUCAACCAACAGCUUUUCUGUCUCCUUAUUGCUGUUGUCAGUAGGAUUAUCUAGCUUUUCUAUAGGCAUGUAUUGUAGAUGUUUAUAUACGAUAUAUUUUGUCAUUGAGAUCUUACUGUAUUCACCUGUCUCUCUCUUUUUUUUUUUUUUUUUUUUUGCUUACCAUUCUGUUGUGAGCAUUUUCUCACAUCAUUAAAAAGUUCCUCAAAAACGGGAUGUUAAUAGCUUCAUAAUGGUCCCUCAUUGAGAUGCUUCAUAAUUGACUUUUUCAUUCUUUCUGGUUGGAUAGACAGGGCAUUACAGUUUCCAGCUUUUCACUGUUAUUAUCAGGCUGCAAUAAGCAUCUCUAGGACAAAUUCCUGGAGGUGGAAUCAGUGCAUCAGAGCACUGACAUUGCUGAGGCUCAAGAGCGUUCCUACUUAGUUGUCUUCCAAAAAGGUUUCCAGCACUGCAUGAGAAUGCCUGUCUCACCACACAUUUACCAGCUCAAUUGUUCCCUUUUUAUUUAGUCUUCAUGAAUUUCUCAGGCCCCAAAUUGAAUUUCAUCGUCUUUUGGAGGCACAGAGCUCUGGCCCAUGGCUCUUGUUUCCCAGCAGGGUGAUAAUUAGAUUAUCUUCAGAGGCUUCCAGCAAACCUCAUGAUGAAAGGCAGGGCAGCCCUGGGCAUGGAGUCAAAGAAGCUGGGUUCCCAUCCCAACUCUGUGCUCUCUCACUGUGUGACCUGGGUAUAUUCUAUCUCCCUCUCUGGGCCUUUGUUUAUCAAUCUACUCCAACAGCCUCCCACUUGGUCUCUCUGCCUCCAAUGCAUCCAAUGUCUGGAACAGUGACUGGCAUAUAAUACGUGCUCAACAAAUAUUUAUUGAAUUCUGAAAUGAAAAAGUGACCUUUCUACAGGAAGAAGCUGCCACAUCAUUAUGCUGCCUCCAACAUUUGCUUAAGCUUCCUAACAUUCUGUUUACUUUUUUGGUUCUCGCAUGAAUUUCUGUUUCUACUUAGGAUAUGAAAAGACACAUGAGACAAAAUGAGAAAAAAGGCCAGAUAAUCUACAGAGUCAUAACUUUUCUUGAGCCCUUCAGAGAGCUGGAGUCGCAAGGCAGCCAACUGAACUGAAACCUAAAGGAUGACAAGAUCUUCUGAGAAAGACAGAACCACCCACUCCUGCACCUCUGGCAGAACCCUGGAGGGAGAGUGGGCUGCCAUAACAGACAGCUAACACUGCAAUGAAUUCUUAAAGGCUGAGUGUGCAAAGGCUUUACAGCUGAGCCAUCCCAGGAGCCCCCACACUUAAAAGGAGUUCACGUUCCUUCAUCAGCUGCUUCCGGUAAAGCUCAGGACAAAGACGGGACAGGACAGGGAUCUGAGUCAGCCACCUCUCAAGGGCACAGGGACAUGAAAACCCUCCCACUUCCCAGACCCUUCUCUUAUCGGAAGCAAAAGCCUCAAACCACUUCCCUGGGGCAGGAAAAACCUUCUACCCUGGAGGCUCAGACAAAGAUCUGUUGUCUCUGGGGGAGGGGCUGGAGCAAAAGCCGUUUUCUGCUGGGGAAGGGGUAGGAAACCCUUCCACCUUGGUUCCUGGUUGAGACGUAGAAGUUGAGAUCUUUGUUCUCAAAGAGGUCUGGAGAGAUGCCUGCAGCCUCUCACUGGAGGACCAGCCGUGCUGCUCUUGCACACAAUGUCACCAACGAGCUGGUCUCCGGGGGUCCUCAAGAGCCCUUCAAUGGCCAAAGUAGGGGGCAGGCUGGGCUCUCAGGAGGAUGUUGGGCCGUAGGAGAGGGUGGGCCAAGGGAAGGAGGCCAUCAGAGAACAGCCUUGUAUGGGCGGGGCCGGUCCCCAUUGUGGGGAGGGCCAUCCCCACUGGUGAGUGGGGCCAUCCUGGAGCAACGAAUUAACUAUUUUAGAGGU
Molecule: long non-coding RNA, 3276 nt
Organism: Homo sapiens (human)
Lineage: Eukaryota; Metazoa; Chordata; Mammalia; Primates; Hominidae
Exons: 3
Source: RefSeq, a predicted model, not a curated record